This 2215-nucleotide ribosomal RNA is filed under the name Diapheromera sp. WS24. Its description in RNAcentral is "eukaryotic LSU rRNA". It matches the Rfam family "Eukaryotic large subunit ribosomal RNA", at positions 67 to 1869 of the family's 3401-position model. Lineage: Eukaryota; Metazoa; Arthropoda; Insecta; Phasmatodea; Diapheromeridae. The record is from RNAcentral.
AACCAGGAUUCCCUCAGUAGCUGCGAGCGAACAGGGAAGAGCCCAGCACCGAAUCCCGCGGGCCUCGCCCGUAGGGAAAUGUGGUGUUAGGGAGGGCCCGUUUUAUCCCGGGUCGGUGGAGGCGCUGUCCAAGUCCMACUUGAAUGCGGCCGCAGCCCAUAGAGGGUGCCAGGCCCGUAGCGACCGCCGCGCCGGCCGGGAGGGUCUCUCCCCAGAGUCGGGUUGCUUGAGAGUGCAACCUCAAGUGGGUGGUAAACUCCAUCUAAGGCUAAAUACGACCACGAGACCGAUAGCGAACAAGUACCGUGAGGGAAAGUUGAAAAGAAUUCUGAAGAGAGAGUUCAAGAGCACGUGAAACCGUUCAGGGGUAAACGGGAGAAAUCCUGAAUUCGAAGGGAGAACAUACACAGGAAUCAAACGCCUUCCCGUUCACCCAGGCCGCACCCCGCACUUGGCGUGGACGCCCGCAGCGAUUCAUUUCGCUGCGUGCUGUCGUCCCGUCUCGGCUGGGUCAGUCGGCUCUGGGCGCGGGAGGAGUGCAAUUCCCCCCUUGGUAGAAGCGCCGCGACCCGUUGGGUGCCGGUCGCAGGGCCCGGAGAGGCAGCCCGUCGGAUCCACCCCUAUUUGGUUUAGGUGGUGGCCGCGGACCUCCGGUGACCCGGCCGGCCGCCCGACGGUACGGACGAAGGGAGCCUUUCCGCUCGCUCUGUGAGCGUCCGGCCCGGCGCCGGCGCGCGGGUGGAAAAAUCGGGGUAUGGUGCCCAGAAUGGGGCCCCGGCCACCUGUCGCGUCCGGCCCGCCCGGUGUCCUCGGACCGGAUCGGCGCUCCCGUCGGCGACGCCAUCCUUCGGAUUGUCUCCCGACCCGUCUUGAAACACGGACCAAGGAGUCUAACAUGUGCGCGAGUCAAUGGGUCGACUCUAAACCUAUGGGCGCAAUGAAAGUGAAGGCCGUCCUUUGGAUCGACGGCCGAGGGAAGAUGGCCCCGACCCCCUCGGGGGCAGGCCCGCAUUCCCGGGGCGUCUCGUCCUCACUGCGAGGUGAGGCGCACCCAGAGCGCACUCGUUGGGACCCGAAAGAUGGUGAACUAUGCCCGGCCAGGACGAAGUCAGGGGAAACCCUGAUGGAGGUCCGUAGCGAUUCUGACGUGCAAAUCGAUCGUCGGAGCUGGGUGUAGGGGCGAAAGACCAAUCGAACCAUCUAGUAGCUGGUUCCCUCCGAAGUUUCCCUCAGGAUAGCUGGCACUCGGAGGAAAAAAAGUCUCAUACGGUAAAGCGAAUGAUUAGAGGCCUUGGGGCCGAAACGACCUCAACCUAUUCUCAAACUUUAAAUGGGUGAGAUCAACGGCUUGCCUAGGCGAAGCCGGAGACGGAUGGUGAGUGCCAAGUGGGCCACUUUUGGUAAGCAGAACUGGCGCUGUGGGAUGAACCAAACGCCGAGUUAAGGCGCCUGAAUCGACGCCCAUGGGGAGACCAUGAAAGGUGUGGGUCGCUUAAGACAGCAGGGCGGUGGCCAUGGAAGUCGGAAUCCGCUAAGGAGUGUGUAACAACUCACCUGCCGAAGCGACUGGCCCCGAAAAUGGAUGGCGCCGAAGCGUCGUGCCCAUACUCGGCCGUCGGCGGCAAUGGGAGGCUCGUCCGGCGUUUUUAACGCCGGCGACCUCGAGGAGGCCCCGACGAGUAGGAGGGUCGCGGCGGUGAGCGCGGAAGGGCAGUGGCGCAAGCCUGCCUGGAGCCACCGUCGGUGCAGAUCUUGGUGGUAGUAGCAAAUACUCCUUUUUGGAGGUCCUUGAGGACCGAUGUGGAGAAGGGUUUCGUGUCAACAGCCGUUGCACACGAGUCAGUCGAUCCUAAGCCCUAUGUGAAGACUGAGGCCGAUGGGGGGUCAGAGCAGAUGACCGUAACCCCCGGCGGGCGAAAGGGAAUCCGGUUAAUAUUCCGGAACCCGGCAGCGGCACCGUUCCGCCUCUGGCCCUGUUAGUCGGGGUGACCCGAAAAGGAACCCGGAGAAGCCGUCGGGAGAUCUGGGCAGAGUUUUCUUUUCUGUUUGAGCGUUCCGUUUCCCUGGAAACCUCCAGCAGGGAGAUAGGGGAUGGGACGCGAAAAGCACCGCAGUUGGGGCGGUGUCCAGAUCCUCCUCUCGGACCUUGAAAAUCCGGGAGAGGGCAGAGCGGGACGUCCGUGCCGGUUCGUACCCAUAUCCGCAGCUGGUCCCC